CAACUCAAGUGAAGCGGUGCCCAAGUGAAUAUUCCCCGCUGUGCUGAUUGAGAAAGUAAAGCCUAAAGAGUGUUCCAAGGCUGCCCCCUCCUUGUGUUCAGGCUGUCUGUGCUUCCUGCCUGCCUUGACCCGUAGCAAGUCAAGCACAAGGGUCUUGGGGAGAGUCAAAGGCACCCUUCAUAAAGGCACCCUGGGGCAGUGUCCCUCCAGAUCCCUCAGGAGAUCUUCAAAACUGGCCAAAGGCUGGAGCAGUGUCCACGUUCUCCGACCUCAAGCAGAAGCUUCUCAUGCCGCCGUGUCCUAACCCAGGUACCCAGAAUAGCCCCAGAGACCUGGAGUCUCCAGAGUUAAGAAGAGCUCACGUUAUAAAAAUAAUGGGGUGCGAGAACCCCCUUUCUUCGCUCCAGGAUUUUGAGGGAGUGACAGAAGAUUAGGACCGAAGAUUUGGUACCCGCCCCCCCAAAUCCAGGGGGAAAAAGGAUAGCACAAUUAAGAGCAUAGGCUUUGGGGUCGUACUGACUUGAGAGAAUUGGCAAAACGGUGUUGAGCACGUAGGGACCAGUCUCUACAUCAUGUCUCAGCAGAGCAUGAGAGUACCCUUCCCACCUGUCGUCAUGGUGACAAGCGAUGAGACAGGCACGUAGGGCCUUAGUGCCUGACCCAAAGCCCGUGCUCGGUAAAUGGAGCCCGGUGUCCUGAAGUUUUCUCCACUUUGGCCAGUUUACCUCUCCUGCUCCCAACGCUCCCCGGCACGUACAGGUCUCCUCACGGGUGUCCCGACGGUGCCUUCGUUUCUGAAGCUCUAGGGCCCAUGACAAGCUCUGUGCGCUCAAAUUCCUGGAAACUUUCCCAGGAAGAUUUGGGAUGCAGAGAUGUGAUGUGGAAGAAAACAGAUGGACUUGGUUCUCCUGAGGUAUGGACAGUGAAAGGUCAGGUAGGGGAGAGCACGCACCGCGCCAAGAGGCCCCAGCCCAGGAGGCCUCUUCCUCCCAUCUCCAGCCAGCUCCCCCGCAUCGCACGCCCGCCGGGUACGCAGCCAGGAACAGGUGGACAGCGCCGGCUGAGCCCUAGGGCUACGGGAUUAAGCCAGCACUCGGUUCCAUCAAGGCUGAGCCAGUGACAUCAUCCCUAUAUAUGAAAGGUGACAUAUUUGUAAGCGGAGACAUGAAGCGGGGCCAUGAGAUCACCCAGGCCAACACCUGCCGUUGCCCAAAUAACUGGGCCAGAAGUGAAGUGUGGAAUUUGAGCAAAACAGAGCAGAUUUUGCCACUUCUCGUUUUGGAUAUUGCCCUCAUUCUAAUAUAGAAAUUCGCAAGGUGACCACUGCAAAAUCGUUCUUUGUUGUGAGAACCAAAUGUUUCCCCUAGAUAUUUUGAGAUAAAAUUUGGAUAACGUAAAUGCAUCCUAGGGAAAGCUGGUUCCCAUUUUAGGAAAGCAAACUCUGUAUCCAAGGACACUGGAUAAUUACACCCCUGAAUGUUUGUGUGCUAUUACAGUGACUACGAGGGAACUAGGUUCUCUCCCCUUUACUGUAAAUGGAUCUUACCCUAGCAUGUCAAGGCUACUGAAAUGUUAGUGCUACCUCAGCGUCAGACAAGGCUUCCCCUUAGAAGACCCCCAAACCACGGCCUAUGGAAAUCCAAAGCAUUCUCCCCCCGCCCAAGAUUUCUGCAAAUUCUUUGUCUCCAAAUUCCUCUCUCUGUACAUGUACACCUCUCUCUCGGACUUUCACAAAACCCCUUUCACAAAACUUUCACAAAACCACUUGAAACAUGGGACAUCUGAAAUUCAUAGACUUUCAUGGAAAUCUUGGAGAGGGAAAUGAAGGGGCUUACAUUGUAAAAAUACAAACGACUUCCCAAAGAACAGUAUCAUGGUUCUCAGGGUGUCCACCUCUAUGGGGCCUCCCUGCCCAAGCCCAGCCUUCUCCCUCCUCCUGGCUUUGUUCAACCUUGCCACUCUCUCCUCUCCACGUCUCUUUCCCCUCCUUCAAAGAAGAGAGAAAAGCAAUCCUCUGCCUUGUUCAUGGCAAAGAAGUUUUCCUUUUUCUACUGAUAUAUUGAUGCCUGGAGACAAAUGACUUCAAAAUCUUACCUACCUCAAUCAGCUUGAUAUUGUCCUUAAAGACAGAUAUUUCCACCAAAGAGAAUACCUUUUCACCUCCUUACAUGAAGUACAUUUCUGUUGUUAUAAUGUAAACCUUUGUAACUUCCCUGUGGGGUCAGAGGUGGUGAGUGGAUAAGUGAAGAAGGAGGAUGAAUACUACUGAGUCAGUAUCCUCUCUAUCACCAAUCAUCACCAUCACUGUCGUCAUUACCAUCAUCAUCAUCACCACCAUCACCACCAUUAUCAACUUCACUAUCAAAAUCACCACAUCACCAUCAU
This is a long non-coding RNA of Felis catus (domestic cat), 2385 nucleotides long. RefSeq lists it as uncharacterized. The transcript has 3 exons. The record is from RefSeq and is a predicted model, not a curated record. NCBI's taxonomy places the organism in Eukaryota, Metazoa, Chordata, Mammalia, Carnivora, Felidae.